Molecule: ribosomal RNA, 506 nt
Filed under: uncultured bacterium
Lineage: Bacteria
Description: partial 16S ribosomal RNA
Rfam family: Bacterial small subunit ribosomal RNA
Source: RNAcentral
AGUGAACGCUGGCGGUAGGCCUAACACAUGCAAGUCGAACGGCAGCACAGGAGAGCUUGCUCUCUGGGUGGCGAGUGGCGGACGGGUGAGGAAUACAUCGGAAUCUACUCUGUCGUGGGGGAUAACGUAGGGAAACUUACGCUAAUACCGCAUACGACCUACGGGUGAAAGCAGGGGACCUUCGGGCCUUGCGCGAUUGAAUGAGCCGAUGUCGGAUUAGCUAGUUGGCGGGGUAAAGGCCCACCAAGGCGACGAUCCGUAGCUGGUCUGAGAGGAUGAUCAGACACACUGGAACUGAGACACGGUCCAGACUCCUACGGGAGGAAGCAGUGGGGAAUAUUGGACAAUGGGCGCAAGCCUGAUCCAGCCAUACCGCGUGGGUGAAGAAGGCCUUCGGGCUGUAAAGCCCUUUUGUUGGGAAAGAAAUCCAGCUGGCUAAUACCCGGUUGGGAUGACGGUACCCAAAGAAUAAGCACCGGCUAACUUCGUGCCAGCCGCCGCCGUAA